UUCAGUACAAAUAAUAUGCUGCCUCAGUAAGCAUCUAGUUAAUGGGGCGAAACGUGUGUCUAUUGUUGCAGCAGUACAAGGAUUUUCCUGGGUAAGAUAUCUAUUCUGCUGGUAUUUUCUUUUUGCGUGUAGUGCUAAUUUCACAUUAAUACACCCUAUGCUCACUGUUUAAUUGGGGCGAUAAACUGUGUGAAAUUGUUAUCAUCAGU
RNAcentral lists this ribosomal RNA (209 nucleotides) under Symbiodinium sp. clade G. Its description in RNAcentral is "partial 23S ribosomal RNA". The record is from RNAcentral. Lineage: Eukaryota; Dinophyceae; Suessiales; Symbiodiniaceae.